CCUACGGGUGGCAGCAGUGAGGAAUAUUGGUCAAUGGGCGGGAGCCUGAACUAGCCAAGUCGCGUGAGGGAAGACGGUCCUAUGGAUUGUAAACCUCUUUAGGCGGGGAGCAAUGCCGGGCACGCGUGCCCGGAGGGAGAGUACCCGCAGAAUAAGCAUCGGCUAACUCCGUGCCAGCAGCCGCGGUAAUACGGAGGAUGCGAGCGUUAUCCGGAUUUAUUGGGUUUAAAGGGUGCGUAGGCGGAUUUUUAAGUCAGCGGUAAAAUGUCCGGGCUCAACCCGGGCCGGCCGUUGAAACUGGGGAUCUUGAGUACUGGAGAGGCAGACGGAAUUCCUAGUGUAGCGGUGAAAUGCGUAGAUAUUAGGAGGAACACCAGUGGCGAAGGCGGUCUGCUGGACAGCAACUGACGGUGAGGCGCGAAAGCGUGGGGAGCAAACAGGAUUAGAUACCCUUGUAGUC
Molecule: ribosomal RNA, 460 nt
Filed under: uncultured bacterium
Lineage: Bacteria
Description: partial 16S ribosomal RNA
Rfam family: Bacterial small subunit ribosomal RNA
Source: RNAcentral